UCGACGGAGAGUUUGAUCCUGGCUCAGGACGAACGCUGGCGGCGUGCCUAACACAUGCAAGUCGAACGAGAUCCAUCCGGUGGCAACACCGGUGAAGAUCUAGUGGCGAACGGGUGAGUAACACGUGAGCAACCUAUCCCGAAGACCGGGAUAACACCGGGAAACCGGUGCUAAUACCGGAUACCCCCACCGGGUCGCAUGGCCUGGUGAGGAAAUGGAUUCCGCUUCGGGAGGGGCUCGCGGCCUAUCAGCUAGAUGGUGGGGUAACGGCCUACCAUGGCAUCGACGGGUAGCUGGUCUGAGAGGACGAUCAGCCACACUGGGACUGAGACACGGCCCAGACUCCUACGGGAGGCAGCAGUGGGGAAUCUUGCGCAAUGGGCGAAAGCCUGACGCAGCAACGCCGCGU
RNAcentral lists this ribosomal RNA (409 nucleotides) under Actinomycetota bacterium. Its description in RNAcentral is "bacterial SSU rRNA". It matches the Rfam family "Bacterial small subunit ribosomal RNA", at positions 1 to 402 of the family's 1533-position model. The record is from RNAcentral. Lineage: Bacteria; Bacillati; Actinomycetota.